Molecule: non-coding RNA, 689 nt
Organism: Podarcis lilfordi (Lilford's wall lizard)
Lineage: Eukaryota; Metazoa; Chordata; Lepidosauria; Squamata; Lacertidae
Source: the annotation of a GenBank genome assembly
AUGCACCACUCUGGUGAGACAGUCCGCGGGCAGGGAGGGUCUCAUCCUGCAUACCAGAUAGAGCAGGUAGACAGCUGCCCUGGAUACAGAAUUGAUCUGCGCCUCCAUGGACAGCUCUGAGUCCAGAAUGACUCCCAGGCUACGCACCUGGUCCUUCAGGGGUACAGUUACUCCAUUCAGGACCAGGGAGACCUCCACACCAGCCCACCCCUGUCCCCCCAAAACAGUACUCCUGUAGCCUGCCCGGGACUGACCAGCCAGGCAGAAAAAGCCAGGUAUUCCCUUCACAGCUCCUCCUGGUGGGCCAUCAAACUUGGGGGGCUUCCUUGACCCUGACGGGUCACCAGUUGUCCUGUGAUUUACAUCAAGGGUCCUGCGCAGCCUCUCUCAUGUGAGUCUUCCUGCCUGGUAGGGAGUCAAGAGGUAAACAUUGCAUUCGCUGGAAACAGAACGAGUGUUGUGCAGUGGUAAGAGUUUCGAAAUCAGACCUGGGAGACCAAGGUUCGAAUCCCUGCCAUGACGCUCACUGGGCGACCUUGAGUCAGUCGCUGCCUCUCAGCUGAGCCUACCUCUCAGGGUUGUUGUGCGGAGGAGAACAACCAUGUAUGUGUCUCCAUCUCCAUCAUUCUGCCCAGACACUGAGGUCCAACGCUAAGGGCCUUCUGUCGGUUCCCUCCCUACGAGAAGCC